Molecule: ribosomal RNA, 459 nt
Filed under: uncultured bacterium
Lineage: Bacteria
Description: partial 16S ribosomal RNA
Rfam family: Bacterial small subunit ribosomal RNA
Source: RNAcentral
CCUACGGGUGGCAGCAGUGAGGAAUAUUGGUCAAUGGGAGAGAUCCUGAACCAGCCAAGCCGCGUGCAGGAAGACGGCCCUAUGGGUUGUAAACCUCUUUUGUCCGGGAAUAAAACCCGUGACGUGUCCCGGUCUGCGUGUAUCCGAAGAAAAAGCAUCGGCUAACUCCGUGCCAGCAGCCGCGGUAAUACGGAGGAUGCGGGCGUUAUCCGGAUUUAUUGGGUUUAAAGGGAGCGUAGGCGGCCCGUUAAGCCAGCGGUAAAAUUUCGGGGCUCAACCCCGUCGAGCCGUUGAACCUGGCAGACUUGAGUUGGCGAGAAGUACGCGGAAUGCGCGGUGUAGCGGUGAAAUGCUUAGAUAUGGCGCAGAACCCCGAUUGCGAAGGCAGCGUGCCGGCGCCAGACUGACGCUGAGGCACGAAAGCGUGGGGAUCGAACAGGAUUAGAUACCCUAGUAGUC